This 1338-nucleotide ribosomal RNA is filed under the name uncultured bacterium. Its description in RNAcentral is "bacterial SSU rRNA". It matches the Rfam family "Bacterial small subunit ribosomal RNA", at positions 29 to 1394 of the family's 1533-position model. The record is from RNAcentral.
AUGAACGCUAGCGGCAGGCCUAAUACAUGCAAGCUGAACGGUAAAUAUUGUAGCAAUACGAUAUGAGAGUAGCGUAAGGGUGCGUAACACGUAUGCAAUCUGCCCUGUACAGGAGGAUAGCUCGGGGAAACUCGGAUUAAUACUCCGUAAUAUUAUUGGUAGGCAUCUAUUGAUAAUUAAAGUCGCAAGACGGUAUGGGAUGAGCAUGCGUCUGAUUAGCUAGUUGGUGAGGUAAUAGCUCACCAAGGCGACGAUCGAUAGCUGGUCUGAGAGGAUGAUCAGCCAGACUGGGACUGAGACACGGCCCAGACUCCUACGGGAGGCAGCAGUAGGGAAUUUUCCACAAUGGGCGAAAGCCUGAUGGAGCAACGCCGCGUGCAGGAUGAAUGCCUUAGGGUUGUAAACUGCUUUUAUAUGUGACGAUUAUGACGGUAGCAUAUGAAUAAGGAUCGGCUAACUCCGUGCCAGCAGCCGCGGUCAUACGGAGGAUCCAAGCGUUAUCCGGAAUUACUGGGCGUAAAGAGUUGCGUAGGUGGCAUAGUAAGUAGAUAGUGAAAGCGUGUGGCUCAACCAUACAUCCAUUGUCUAAACUGCUAAGCUAGAGUAUGAGAGAGGUAGAUGGAAUUCCCAGUGUAGGAGUGAAAUCCGUAGAUAUUGGGAGGAACACCGAUGGCGUAGGCAGUCUACUGGCUCAUUACUGACACUAAGGCACGAAAGCGUGGGGAGCAAACGGGAUUAGAUACCCCGGUAGUCCACGCCGUAAACUAUGGAUGCUAGCUGUUAGAAGUAUCGACCCUUCUAGUAGCGAAGCUAACGCGUUAAGCAUCCCGCCUGUGGAGUACGGUCGCAAGACUAAAACAUAAAGGAAUUGACGGGGACCCGCACAAGCGGUGGAGCGUGUUGUUUAAUUCGAUGGUAAGCGAAGAACCUUACCCAGGCUUGACAUCCUUGGAAGGCAUCCGAAAGGAUACUGUGCCCUCGGGAACCAAGUGACAGGUGAUGCAUGGCCGUCGUCAGCUCGUGUCGUGAGAUGUUUGGUUAAGUCCAUCAACGAGCGCAACCCUUUUAGUUAGUUGUAUUUCUCUAGCUAGACUGCCCUGGUAACAGGGAGGAAGGAGGGGAUGAUGUCAGGUCAGUAUUUCCCUUACGUCUGGGGCUACAAACACGCUACAAUGGCCGGUACAAAGGGCAGCCAAGGCGCAAGCUGGAGCAAAUCCCAUCAAAGCCGGUCUCAGUUCGGAUUGCAGGCUGAAACUCGCCUGCAUGAAGCUGGAAUCGCUAGUAACGGUAGGUCAGCACACUACCGUGAAUACGUUCCCGGGUCUUGCACUCACCGCC